GUUAUCAAAGCUCGUGAAUAUCGCACGAAUUCGUAGUGGUUAGUUCAAACGAUUUUCAAAUACUCAAGUGUAUACGUUGGUGAGAUGACCGAUGAUAAAUUAGUGCGACUCGCAACAGAGAGAUCUAUAUACGUACAUAUAAUACAUAUAUCGAGGAAUUGGCGAACACUAAUAUCGAUUCACCUUUCGUGUACAGCAAAGGAAACUACUAACCACAGCGGAAAUAAAAUUAAAAAGUUUGCCGAUUUAUCCAUUUCAAAAUAUAAUAUCGAAGCUUCUUCUAGAAUCGAGGAAUUGAAAUGAUGAAAAUAUACAUAACUUUUAGUUACAUAGAGGAAAUAGAGGCAAUAAUUUGCAAGGCUCUCGUGCGCAUCGGUACGCCGACGCGCCGCCUUUCGCGUAAUGCAGCCUUACAAUCCCGUCGACGCAUCAACAAACCAAUUUGCUACAGUGUUAAGAGAAAGCGAGUGCACUGGAAGAAAAAGCAAAUCACGUUAAGUAGCAAAAAAUCUUAUUGCGAGCUUAAAUCUGGGACGACUCUAUCUUAUACUGCUUGGACAACUACAUAUAUACCUACUAAUUUCUUGUUACAAUAUCCAUCAGCGAAAUGAUACGCUGGUUCGUGACACUGGUUUAAAUAAAAAAACGUCACAUUUGACGAAUUAUAUUCGUCAACGAAAAAAAGAAAGAUGGAAUUUUUCUAUGUUUCAUUUUCGGAAACGAUAUCAAACGUGGCCGCAUUAUUCGAAUCAAUCCGAAUUAUAUCGAGAGCUGUUUACAAUCUUUAAUCUUUCUCACUCUGAAGUUAACGAACUGAAAUUCAUUCGAAAUUUAGCGUUGACAUUUGGAUUGCACAUUAGCAACGCGUGUAUUCGCGCGUAUCGCGAUUGUUUCUUCCGUAAUAUAAUCGAUAUUUUCAUUUGAAUAAGAACAUCCACUCUGAACGUAACGUUAGACGGGGUGCGACAAUAACGUAUUUCGGAUUUCGUUUAACUAUUGUUUUUGGAGUCUGGUGGCCUGAGAUGGGUCGUAGUUGGAGUCUUUCGAUAGCAUUGAAGAGUUUAUAAAAAACAAACAACGAAUCUGUGACAGCUACACGGAGAACUUUUUGUAUUUACUUCGCGGUCGGCAACGAAAUGCCGCUAUUCCGAGGAGAAAAGCCAUGCUACAUUUGGUGCUAUAUUUGUUGAAAUUUUUGGGUUGAAAAUUUCUGGGCCACGGGUUCAGCGCCGAAAAGAAAACCACCUAAGAAACGGUACGGCAUUCGGACGCCGUGAUAGUACCGUUGGAAAUGAUACGCCCGAUCAUGAAAAACUUGAGACAUCGAUCACAAAUAUGUAUGGCGAGUGAAAGCCUUGGCGAUAUCAUUCCAAAAUUGCGUGGAAACAGACUGUAUUCCGUGUACCUUCAGAUCACAUAAUAAAAUGUCGAAUCGCAUUUACCAGGCCUUUUCCGUUGAUAUUAAAAAUCCGGCAGGCUUUUUUGCCGCACUGUCUAUUAUCUUCUUCCGCGAUAAUCUAUCGCUAACGCUGCGUCUUUUUUUUUAUGAUCAGCGAUAAAUUUUUCAGGAAAACAAAUAAAUGAUAAAUGCCGACGAACGUCGCGUGUGA
This 1610-nucleotide unclassified non-coding RNA is filed under the name Bombus terrestris (buff-tailed bumblebee). RNAcentral describes it as "misc RNA ENSBTSG00005027786.1". The record is from RNAcentral. Lineage: Eukaryota; Metazoa; Arthropoda; Insecta; Hymenoptera; Apidae.